Molecule: ribosomal RNA, 497 nt
Filed under: uncultured bacterium
Lineage: Bacteria
Description: partial 16S ribosomal RNA
Rfam family: Bacterial small subunit ribosomal RNA
Source: RNAcentral
GACGAACGCUGGCGGCGUGCCUAAUACAUGCAAGUAGAACGCUGAAGAGAGGAGCUUACUCUUCUUGGAUGAGUUGCGAACGGGUGAGUAACGCGUAGGUAACCUGCCUUGUAGCGGGGGAUAACUAUUGGAAACGAUAGCUAAUACCGCAUAACAAUGGAUGACACAUGUCAUUUAUUUGAAAGGGGCAAUUGCUCCACUACAAGAUGGACCUGCGUUGUAUUAGCUAGUAGGUGAGGUAAUGGCUCACCUAGGCGACGAUACAUAGCCGACCUGAGAGGGUGAUCGGCCACACUGGGACGGAGACACGGCCCAGCCUCCUACGGGAGGCAGCAGUAGGGAAUCUUCGGCAAUGGGGGAAACCCUGACCGAGCAACGCCGCGUGAGUGAAGAAGGUUUUCGGAUCGUAAAGCUCUGUUGUACGUCAAGAACGGGUGUGAGAGUGGAAAGUUCACACUGUGACGGUAGCUCACCAGAAAGGGACGGCUAACUACGUG